Molecule: long non-coding RNA, 280 nt
Filed under: Ricinus communis (castor bean)
Lineage: Eukaryota; Viridiplantae; Streptophyta; Magnoliopsida; Malpighiales; Euphorbiaceae
Description: long non-coding RNA (RCOM_LNC003194)
Source: RNAcentral
UUUUUGUCAUUUGCGUGGGAAAACAUGAUGCAUUAAUUGGGAGGGAAAAUACAAAUCAACCGAGUAGGGGAAAUAAAUGGAAAGAAAUAAAAAAGGACAAAAGUAAAGUUGAAAAAAGAAAAGGUCUACAAGUAGUGAAGCAGACAUCAUUAAAGAAAAGGAUAAAAAGGCAUAUAUGGACAGAUGGAAGAUGAUUUUGAUUUUGAAUGUGAUUAGGAAUGGUUAUCCCACUCGGUCCCAAUUAGCUUCACUUCCCCUGCGAGGAAUGCUGUUCACCCUU